Molecule: ribosomal RNA, 700 nt
Filed under: uncultured bacterium
Lineage: Bacteria
Description: bacterial SSU rRNA
Rfam family: Bacterial small subunit ribosomal RNA
Source: RNAcentral
AGAGUUUGAUCAUGGCUCAGAUUGAACGCUGGCGGCAUGCUUUACACAUGCAAGUCGAACGGUAACAGGCCGCAAGGUGCUGACGAGUGGCGAACGGGUGAGUAAUGCAUCGGAACGUGCCCAGUCGUGGGGGAUAACGCAGCGAAAGCUGUGCUAAUACCGCAUACGAUCUAUGGAUGAAAGCGGGGGACCGUAAGGCCUCGCGCGAUUGAAGCGGCCGAUGUCAGAUUAGGUAGUUGGUGGGGUAAAGGCCCACCAAGCCAACGAUCUGUAGCUGGUCUGAGAGGACGACCAGCCACACUGGGACUGAGACACGGCCCAGACUCCUACGGGAGGCAGCAGUGGGGAAUUUUGGACAAUGGGCGCAAGCCUGAUCCAGCAAUGCCGCGUGCAGGAAGAAGGCCUUCGGGUUGUAAACUGCUUUUGUACGGAACGAAACGGUCUGGGUUAAUACCCUAGGCUAAUGACGGUACCGUAAGAAUAAGCACCGGCUAACUACGUGCCAGCAGCCGCGGUAAUACGUAGGGUGCAAGCGUUAAUCGGAAUUACUGGGCGUAAAGCGUGCGCAGGCGGUUAUGUAAGACAGAGGUGAAAUCCCCGGGCUCAACCUGGGAACUGCCUUUGUGACUGCAUAGCUGGAGUACGGCAGAGGGGGAUGGAAUUCCGCGUGUAGCAGUGAAAUGCGUAGAUAUGCGGAGGA